Molecule: long non-coding RNA, 559 nt
Filed under: Cicer arietinum (chickpea)
Lineage: Eukaryota; Viridiplantae; Streptophyta; Magnoliopsida; Fabales; Fabaceae
Description: long non-coding RNA (CARI_LNC000085)
Source: RNAcentral
GACACCAAAAAUUUAAAAAAAAUGAAGAGAUUUAAAAUAGAUUACUAAAUAUUAAUGAAAGUGGAGCCCUUUCUCACAACAAAAUUGACGGGUUAUAAGACAUAAAUAAAUAAAAAGAAUUGGAGAAAUAAUGUGGAUGAUAGUCGAAUAUUUGAUUGAGUGAGUAGGUAUUUACAUAAUGAUAGAGGUCCAAAAAAUAGACAUAAUGAAAUGAAAGUAGCACGUAAAUAUAUACAAUACACAUUGUUUCCAAAAAAAAAGAAGAUUGAUUGAUACUAAUUAACGGCAUGCUGGAGAGAAGAGUUGGUCGAGGUUUUCAGGUAUCUUAAAGUAACCAUUCUUCGGAGCCUUUCUUUUUUCCCUCCCAAAUGAAUAUGGCUUCUUCUUCGGCGGUGGAGGUGGCACUAACGCCGUCUGUAUUUGGCAUUCCCACCUCUUCGGCGUUGAACAACCACCGUUCAUCUCUUCAUACCCACCGUUCAUCAUUAAUUAUUAUAAUAAUAGUAAUAAUAGAAACACGAGUAAGGAGAAUUAUGCAAAGUGUAAGGUAGCCAGUGAG